UACAGAGACCCCGAGCGUUACCCGGAUUUAUUGGGCGUAAAGGGUCCGUAGGUGGUAAAGUAAGUUGAAAGUUAAAAUUCAUCGGCUCAACCUUUGAAGUGCUUUCAAUACUGCUAUACUUGAGGACGUUAGGGGUGAUCGGAACCGACGGAGUAGGGGUGAAAUCCGUUGAUAUCGUCGGGAACACCAAAAGCGAAGGCAGAUCACUAGGACGAUCCUGACACUGAGGGACGAAAGCGUGGGGAGCAAAAAGG
RNAcentral lists this ribosomal RNA (254 nucleotides) under uncultured bacterium. RNAcentral describes it as "partial 16S ribosomal RNA". It matches the Rfam family "Bacterial small subunit ribosomal RNA", at positions 524 to 776 of the family's 1533-position model. The record is from RNAcentral.